RNAcentral lists this long non-coding RNA (2080 nucleotides) under Marmota monax (woodchuck). The record is from RNAcentral. Lineage: Eukaryota; Metazoa; Chordata; Mammalia; Rodentia; Sciuridae.
CGGCAGGGCUCACUUGUGUCCCCUGGACAGUGGUUGUGGGAUUAAGGGAGUCCCUGCCUAGGGACUGCCUUGCACCUGCUCCACCUGCAGACUGCCCUGGUCAGGUGGGGGACCAAGGUGGGCACCUCUCUGGCUAUGGGGCUGGUCGGUGUGGCCCUCUGGAUGAGGCGUGAAGGGCAGAGCGUCCAGCAGGGGACGUGCUGCCAGCAGGGCCAGGGGUGUGUGAGCCUUGUGCCAAGCAGGAGUGUCCUCUCAUGUGGUGAGGCCUGGGGACAUGGCCCUGCUGCUUACAAGAUGACCACAGAUAGCUGGGCAAGGCACCUGGGGGGUGAGGGGGCACCCCAGAGCCGGGAGGCCAGACCCCUCAGCGCCCAGGAACGAGCUCACCAGCCCACCCCCGGGGGACAGUGGGAGCUGCCGGGGAGGUCCUCCGACGCCGGGAAACCAGGCCAGCAGCGCACAGGGCUCCCUCCGCAGGGGGCCGGCGAGCGUGUCCCUUGAUUAAAGAUGUGCAACCCGGGCUGUGCCAACGCCCAGGGCCGGCUGCUCCCCGGGACACUCCAGGCCACCCCCCCAGCCCCGCAGGGUGCCGUGCCGUGCACAGGAGACACGUGUGGACAGGUUUGUGAUCUGGUGCCGGGAGCCUGAGACUUGGCUCUCCUCGGCUUUGGUGGGGACACAACCCACCUGGGCCCAGAUGCUGCCCCUGGAGGGGGCUGGGCAGGCCUUGCCUCCGGACUCCCACCUGUGUCCCCUCCUCGGCGGCACGAGGACAUCCUGUGGGCUGGCAUGAACCUCGUCACAUGGCAUGGCCUUGGUGCCCACCGCAGGGGCCCUGUGGACUCACGAGCCUGGGAGGGGCCGGCCUGUGGCUUUCUGUCUUCCCUCAUCCAAGCAAGAACACCAGGCGCCCCUUCUGAGGGCACCCAGCCGGCCCCUGACCACAGCCCAUCUGCCAGCAUUGGCCACAGCCGACCUCACACCAGGCCCUAGUGCCUGAGCGGCCUGGAGCCCACUCUUCCCAGGCCCAUUCCUGCCGGGUUCCAGAACAUUCCAUCUCCUUGCUCCAUGAACCACUUCUGAAGGUCCCACAGACCCCAACUGGGGGUCAGCAGAGUGCAGACUCCCCACUGGGGUGCUGCCUGGAGCCUCAGGUGCACGCAGUCCACCCAGGUGAGCCUGUCACCUGCUUCACAGGUAAGGAAGCUCAGACUGGGCAGUAAGCCGUGGGCUCUGGCAGCCUGGCCCAGGCGGUCAUCCCCAUGCCAGGUGAGGACCAGGUGAAGCUUGCUCCCCCAACACUCCAGAGCCAAACGUGCGGAGCCCUGACCUGAAGUCCCCUCUGCCGGCAGCUGCUGUGCACCCCACAGGUGUGGUCCUGGCCCUGGGCCCCUAGCUAGCACAGCCCUCUCCGAUGCAGACCCAGCCCGCACUGCAGCCCCCACAUGGGACUCCUGCAGUUGGAGACGACAGGGGUGCCACAGAGCAGGGCCCAUGUGGUGCCCAGGCGCAGGCGGCUCCAGUCCUGCUCCCUGGGGGGCCCAGCGCCCAGCCUCCUGCCUCCGCAAAGCCUCCAGUGCCCCUGCAGGGUGCAGAGGUCCAGGCCUGCACUGUGCAGCACUGGCCAGACCCACGGCCACCAAGCACUGGAAAGGUGGCCACACAGGGAAGACCCAGUGGUAGUGCAGGCACAGCACCCGUGCCCCCACCAGCAGCCCGGUCACCGUCCCUCGGUCGCGAUCACCCGAAAGCCGGCCAGAGGGAAGCCUUGGCUCCCUCACAGGAGGCACCCACCUCUAGCCUGGCCGUCCAGCUCUUUGCCCUGGGCCAGCUGGGCCUGGGGAGGGGUCCCCGGGGGCAGGCUGGGGCUGCCCGAGUCCCCCGCCCAGGAACACCAUAUCCUUUCUCUGAAUUUAAGGAAGCAGCUCCCUGGAAGCUCAAGCAGUGGCAGAUGUUUCCUCCUGGGGCUCCCUGCCCCGCCCGCGGCCAGGCUGGGCUCCAGGGCCCUGUGGAGGUCAGGGUGCGGGCCAGCCUCGCCCCUCCCUGGGCCAGGAGGAAAAGGCUCGACAGCGUGUUCCAC